RNAcentral lists this ribosomal RNA (1001 nucleotides) under Wickerhamomyces bisporus. RNAcentral describes it as "SSU rRNA". It matches the Rfam family "Eukaryotic small subunit ribosomal RNA", at positions 85 to 1096 of the family's 1831-position model. The record is from RNAcentral. Lineage: Eukaryota; Fungi; Ascomycota; Saccharomycetes; Phaffomycetales; Wickerhamomycetaceae.
AACUGCGAAUGGCUCAUUAAAUCAGUUAUAGUUUAUUUGAUAGUACCUUUACUACUUGGACACUAACCGUGGUAAUUCUAGAGCUAAUACAUGCUAAAAACCCCGACUGUUUGGGAGGGGUGUAUUUAUUAGAUAAAAAAUCAAUGCUCUUCGGAGCCCUUUGAUGAUUCAUAAUAACUUUUCGAAUCGCAUGGCUUUUUGCCGGCGAUGGUUCAUUCAAAUUUCUGCCCUAUCAACUUUCGAUGGUAGGAUAGUGGCCUACCAUGGUGGCAACGGGUAACGGGGAAUAAGGGUUCGAUUCCGGAGAGGGAGCCUGAGAAACGGCUACCACAUCCAAGGAAGGCAGCAGGCGCGCAAAUUACCCAAUCCUAAUUCAGGGAGGUAGUGACAAUAAAUAACGAUACAGGGCCCAUUCGGGUCUUGUAAUUGGAAUGAGUACAAUGUAAAUACCUUAACGAGGAACAAUUGGAGGGCAAGUCUGGUGCCAGCAGCCGCGGUAAUUCCAGCUCCAAUAGCGUAUAUUAAAGUUGUUGCAGUUAAAAAGCUCGUAGUUGAACUUUGGGCCUGGCUGGCCGGUCCGCUUUCUUGCGUGCACUGGAUCCGCCGGGCCUUUCCUUCUGGAGCAGGGUGCCUUUCGGGGCAUUCCGCGCCAGGACUUUUACUUUGAAAAAAUUAGAGUGUUCAAAGCAGGCCUUUGCUCGAAUAUAUUAGCAUGGAAUAAUAGAAUAGGACGUUUGGUUCUAUUUUGUUGGUUUCUAGGACCAUCGUAAUGAUUAAUAGGGACGGUCGGGGGCAUCAGUAUUCAGUUGUCAGAGGUGAAAUUCUUGGAUUUACUGAAGACUAACUACUGCGAAAGCAUUUGCCAAGGACGUUUUCAUUAAUCAAGAACGAAAGUUAGGGGAUCGAAGAUGAUCAGAUACCGUCGUAGUCUUAACCAUAAACUAUGCCGACUAGGGAUCGGGUGUUGUUUUUUUAAUGACUCACUCGGCACCUUACGAGAA